Molecule: ribosomal RNA, 572 nt
Filed under: uncultured bacterium
Lineage: Bacteria
Description: bacterial SSU rRNA
Rfam family: Bacterial small subunit ribosomal RNA
Source: RNAcentral
UGAGGAAUUUUGCGCAAUGGGGGAAACCCUGACGCAGCAACGCCGCGUGAGCGAAGAAGGCCUUCGGGUCGUAAAGCUCUGUCAAGUGGGAAAAAAGCCUUUCGGUUAAUAACCGGAAGGUCUGAUGGUACCACUGGAGGAAGCACCGGCUAACUCCGUGCCAGCAGCCGCGGUAAUACGGAGGGUGCAAGCGUUGUUCGGAAUUACUGGGCGUAAAGCGCGUGCAGGCGGUUUGGUAAGUCAGAUGUGAAAGCCCUGGGCUCAACCCGGGAAUUGCAUUUGAAACUGCCUUUCUUGAGUAUGGGAGAGGAAAGUGGAAUUCCCGGUGUAGAGGUGAAAUUCGUAGAUAUCGGGAGGAAUACCGGUGGCGAAGGCGACUUUCUGGCUGAAUACUGACGCUGAGGCGCGAAAGCGUGGGGAGCAAACAGGAUUAGAUACCCUGGUAGUCCACGCCGUAAACGAUGUCAACUAGGUGCAGGGGGUGUUGAUCCCCUCUGUGUCGCAGCUAACGCAUUAAGUUGACCGCCUGGGGAGUACGGUCGCAAGAUUAAAACUCAAAUGAAUUGACGGAA